Diceros bicornis minor is the source of this 331-nucleotide long non-coding RNA. RefSeq lists it as uncharacterized. The transcript is spliced from 3 exons. The record is from RefSeq and is a predicted model, not a curated record. Lineage: Eukaryota; Metazoa; Chordata; Mammalia; Perissodactyla; Rhinocerotidae.
UUUCUGCCCUCAGGGAGGUAGAAAUCUAAAGCAGAAACGGAGAAAGUAUCCAAUUAAGAUAGAGCAGAAGUUCUUAGCCUGGGGUCCCAGGAAUGUAUUUCAAUGGAUCCUUCAGCCUCUUGAAAUUGAAGGGCCAGGCAGAUAUGAUCAGAGGAGUUUGACGCACCCUCAGAAGAAUAUUCCUCUGGAAGGAGAAACUCAAGAAUGUGUCUUCCCGGGACAUUAAGUUAGAAGGAAUUUUGGUGUAUAGGACUUAGAAUCAGAAGACCUGGAUUCGCAUUCCAACUCUGCUUCUUUCUAAGCAACAUGAGUUCAGGUAAUUGAUUUCACC